Molecule: ribosomal RNA, 497 nt
Filed under: uncultured bacterium
Lineage: Bacteria
Description: partial 16S ribosomal RNA
Rfam family: Bacterial small subunit ribosomal RNA
Source: RNAcentral
GAUGAACGCUGGCGGCGUGCCUAAUACAUGCAAGUCGAGCGAACAGACGAGGAGCUUGCUCCUUUGACGUUAGCGGCGGACGGGUGAGUAACACGUGGGUAACCUACCUAUAAGACUGGGAUAAUUUCGGGAAACCGGAGCUAAUACCGGAUAAUAUUUCGAACCGCAUGGUUCGAUAGUGAAAGAUGGCUCUGCUAUCACUUAUAGAUGGACCUGCGCCGUAUUAGCUAGUUGGUAAGGUAACGGCUUACCAAGGCAACGAUACGUAGCCGACCUGAGAGGGUGAUCGACCACACUGGAACUGAGACACGGGCCAGACUCCUACGGGAGGCAGCAGUAGGGAAUCGUCCGCAAUGGGCGGAAACCUGACGGAGCAACGCCGCGUGAGUGAUGAAAGUCUUCGGAUCGUAAAACUCUGUUAUUAGGGAAGAACAAACGUGUAAGUAACUGUGCACGUCUUGACGGUACCUAAUCAGAAAGCCACGGCUAACUACGUG